UACGGAGGGUGCAAACGUUGCUCGGAAUUAUUGGGCGUAAAGCGUACGUAGGCGGUCCAGCAAGUCGGGUGUGAAAGCCCUCGGCUUAACCGAGGAAGUGCAUUCGAAACUACUGGACUUGAAUACUGGAGAGGAUCGCGGAAUUCCCGGUGUAGAGGUGAAAUUCGUAGAUAUCGGGAGGAACACCAGUGGCGAAGGCGGCGAUCUGGACAGAUAUUGACGCUGAUGUACGAAAGCGUGGGGAGCAAACAGG
RNAcentral lists this ribosomal RNA (253 nucleotides) under uncultured bacterium. Its description in RNAcentral is "partial 16S ribosomal RNA". It matches the Rfam family "Bacterial small subunit ribosomal RNA", at positions 524 to 776 of the family's 1533-position model. The record is from RNAcentral.